This 500-nucleotide ribosomal RNA is filed under the name uncultured Glomeromycotina. RNAcentral describes it as "partial small subunit ribosomal RNA". It matches the Rfam family "Eukaryotic small subunit ribosomal RNA", at positions 591 to 1092 of the family's 1831-position model. The record is from RNAcentral. Lineage: Eukaryota; Fungi; Glomeromycota.
CCAAUAGCGUAUAUUAAAGUUGUUGCAGUUAAAAAGCUCGUAGUUGAAUUUCGGGGUCAGUAGGUUGGUCGUGCCUCCGGUACGUACUGGUCUCACUGAUUCCUCCUUCCUGAUGAGCUGUAAUGCCAUUACUUUGGUGUUGCUGGGAAACUGGACUGUUACUUUGAAAAAAUUAGUGUGUUUAAAGCAGGCUAACGCUUGAAUACAUUAGCAUGGCAUAAUGAAAUAGGACGUUCGAUCCUAUUUUGUUGGUUUCUAGGAUUGACGUAAUGAUUAAUAGGGAUAGUUGGGGGCAUUAGUAUUCAAUUGUCAGAGGUGAAAUUCUUGGAUUUAUUGAAGACUAACUACUGCGAAAGCAUUUGCCAAGGAUGUUUUCAUUAAUCAAGAACGAAAGUUAGGGGAUCGAAGACGAUCAGAUACCGUCGUAGUCUUAACCAUAAACUAUGCCGACUAGGAAUCGGAUGAUGUUAAUUUUUUAAUGACUCAUUCGGCGCCUUACG